GACGAACGCUGGCGGCGUGCUUAACACAUGCAAGUCGAACGGAAAGGCCCUGCUCUUGUUGGUUGCUCGAUUGGCGAACGCGUGAGUAACACGCGUGUAACCCGCCCCUGUCUUUGGGAUAACUUCACGGAAAUCGGGCUCAUACCGGAUAGGAGCUCCUGCUGCAUGUGGGUGGUUGGAAAGUUUGGGCGGUUGUGUCUGGUCUCGAGGCUUACCGGCUUGUUGGUGAGGUAGUGGCUUUCCAAGGCUUCGACGGGUAGGCGGCCUGGGAGGGUGACCGGGCACCUUGGGACUGAGGGACGGCGCAGAAUCGUACGGGAGGCAGCGGUGGGAAGUAUUGCGCAACGGGCGGAAGCGUGAUGCGACAACGCCGGGUGCGGAAUGCCGGGUUUCGAGUUGAAAACAACUGUCGACUGUGACGAAGCGGGAGUGACGGUAAUGGAUAAAGAAGCACCGGCUAACUACGUG
Molecule: ribosomal RNA, 468 nt
Filed under: uncultured bacterium
Lineage: Bacteria
Description: partial 16S ribosomal RNA
Rfam family: Bacterial small subunit ribosomal RNA
Source: RNAcentral